Molecule: ribosomal RNA, 704 nt
Filed under: Lactifluus dunensis
Lineage: Eukaryota; Fungi; Basidiomycota; Agaricomycetes; Russulales; Russulaceae
Description: partial large subunit ribosomal RNA
Rfam family: Eukaryotic large subunit ribosomal RNA
Source: RNAcentral
CACCGGACCAUGCACAAGUCUCCUGGAACGGAGCGUCAUAGAGGGUGAGAAUCCCGUCUUUGGCAUGGGAUCCCCCGGGGCUUUUGUGAUGCGCUCUCGAAGAGUCGAGUUGUUUGGGAAUGCAGCUCAAAAUGGGUGGUGAACUCCAUCUAAAGCUAAACAUUGGCGAGAGACCGAUAGCGAACAAGUACCGUGAGGGAAAGAUGAAAAGCACUUUGGAAAGAGAGUGAAACAGUACGUGAAAUUGUUGAAAGGGAAACGCUUGGAGUCAGUCACGUCGACCGAGACUCAGCCUUGCCCCUUUGGGCUUGGUGUACUUCUCGGCCAACGGGCCAGCAUCGAUUUUGUCCCUCAGAUAAUGGCAAGGGAAAGGUGGCACCCUUAUGGGUGUGUUAUAGUCCCCUGUCGCAUGUGAGGGAUGGGAUUGAGGAACUCAGCACGCGCCUCUCGGCGUUCGGGGCUUUGGCCCACGCUUACGUGCUUAGGAUGUUGGCAUAAUGGCUCCAAACGACCCGUCUUGAAACACGGACCAAGGAGUCUAACAUGCCUGCGAGUGUUCGGGUGGAAAACCCGUGUGCGAAACGAAAGUGAAAGUCGGGACCUCUGUCGUGGAGGGCACCGACGCCCGGACCAGACCUUCUGUGACGGAUCUGCGGUAGAGCAUGCAUGUUGGGACCCGAAAGAUGGUGAACUAUGCCUGAAUA